GCCUUGUUUGCAAGCAAAAGAAUGCACAUGCAUGCGUCAUUGGACUGUCAUGAAUGUGCCUCAAAGACUGACACAGAAGAGAAGAAAUU
Molecule: long non-coding RNA, 89 nt
Organism: Sinocyclocheilus anshuiensis
Lineage: Eukaryota; Metazoa; Chordata; Actinopteri; Cypriniformes; Cyprinidae
Exons: 3
Source: RefSeq, a predicted model, not a curated record